CCUACGGGAGGCAGCAGUGAGGAAUAUUGGUCAAUGGACGAGAGUCUGAACCAGCCAAGUAGCGUGAAGGAUGACUGCCCUAUGGGUUGUAAACUUCGUUUAUAUGGGAAUAAAAUGUUCCACGUGUGGGAUUUUGUAUGUAACAUAUGAAUAAGGAUCGGCUAACUCCGUGCCAGAAGCCGCGGUAAUACGGAGGAUCCGAGCGUUAUCCGGAUGUAUUGGGUUUAAAGGGAGCGUAGGUGGAUUGUUAAGUCAGUUGUGAAAUUUUGCGGCUCAACCGUAAAAUUGCAGUUGAAACUGGCAGUCUUGAGUACAGUAUAGGUGGUCGGAAUUCGUGUGUAGCGGUGAAAUGCUUAGAUAUCACGAAGAACUCCGAUUGCGAAGGCAGCUCACUGGACUGCAACUGACACUGAGGCUCGAAAGUGUGGGUAUCAAACAGGAUUAGCUACCCCUGUAGUC
Molecule: ribosomal RNA, 459 nt
Filed under: uncultured bacterium
Lineage: Bacteria
Description: partial 16S ribosomal RNA
Rfam family: Bacterial small subunit ribosomal RNA
Source: RNAcentral